RNAcentral lists this ribosomal RNA (875 nucleotides) under uncultured methanogenic archaeon. RNAcentral describes it as "bacterial SSU rRNA". It matches the Rfam family "Archaeal small subunit ribosomal RNA", at positions 1 to 872 of the family's 1478-position model. Lineage: Archaea; Methanobacteriati; Methanobacteriota. The record is from RNAcentral.
GCCCUUUUCCGGUUGAUCCUGCCGGAGGUUACUGCUAUCGGGGUCCGAUUAAGCCAUGCGAGUUGAGAGGGGUAAGCCCUCGGCAUACUGCUCAGUAACACGCGGACAACCUGCCCUUGGGUCUGGGAUAACCCCGGGAAACUGGGACUAAUACCGGAUAGAUCAGAGAUACUGGAAUGUUCUCUGGUCCAGAACUCCGGUGCCCAAGGAUGGGUCUGCGGCCUAUCAGGUAGUAGUGGGUGUAACGUACCUACUAGCCAGCGACGGGUAAGGGUUGUGAGAGCAAGAUCCCUGAGAUGGAUUCUGAGACAUGAAUCCAGGCCCUACGGGUGCAGCAGGCGCGAAAACUUUACACUGCGGGAAACCGCGAUAAGGGGACCCCGAGUGCCAGCACCUAGUGCUGGCUGUCCUACUGUCUAAAUAACAGUGGUUAGCAAGGGCCGGGCAAGACCGGUGCCAGCCGCCGCGGUAACACCGGCGGCCCGAGUGGUAACCGUCAUUAUUGGGUUUAAAGGGUCCGUAGCCGGCUUAUUAAGUCUUUUGGGAAAUCUGGCGACUCAAUCGUCAGGCGUCCAAGAGAUACUGGUAGGCUUGGGACCGGGAGAGGUGGGAGGUACUCCAGGGGUAGGGGUGAAAUCUCGUAAUCCUUGGGGGACCACCGAUGGCGAAGGCAUCCCACCAGAACGGGUCCGACGGUGAGGGACGAAAGCUGGGGGCGCGCACGCACCGGAUUAGAUACCUGGGUAGUCCCAGCUGUAAACGAUGCUCGCUAGGUGUCAGGUGCGGUGCGACCGCAUCUGGUGCCGCAGUGAAAACUUGAAGCGAGUCACCUGGGAAGUACGGUCGCAAGGCUGAAACUUAAAGGAAUUGGCGGG